GGCUUCUUGGUAUUUAACUAAAAGAAGUCUAACCUGCCCGGUGGAUUAGCUCUAAACGGUUGCGGCUUGAGCCGUGUUAAGGUAGCAUAAUAAAUAGUCUCUUAAUUGGGGGAUAGAAUGAAUGGUUGAAUGAUGGGAUAGCUUUAUUAGUAAUAUAAAUAUGAAGUUUACUUUUAAGUGAAAAGGCUUAAAUUUUAUUGUUAGACGAUAAGACCCUAUUGAGCUUGAUAGUUUUUACCUACACUAUGUAAAAAUAAGUUUAGUCGGGACGGACUGGAAGAGAUGAGAUGUCUUCUUUGUCAUAUACUGAUCCAGCAGGGCUGAUAGAAAGAAGAUAGCUACCAUAGGGAUAACAGCGCAAUUCCUCCUCAGAGGUCUUAUUAAGGGGGGAGAUUGC
RNAcentral lists this ribosomal RNA (397 nucleotides) under Donax trunculus (truncated wedgeshell). RNAcentral describes it as "partial 16S ribosomal RNA". It matches the Rfam family "Bacterial large subunit ribosomal RNA", at positions 1816 to 2521 of the family's 2925-position model. The record is from RNAcentral. Lineage: Eukaryota; Metazoa; Mollusca; Bivalvia; Cardiida; Donacidae.